RNAcentral lists this transfer RNA (101 nucleotides) under Aspergillus tamarii. It matches the Rfam family "tRNA". Rfam says of the family: Transfer RNA (tRNA) molecules are approximately 80 nucleotides in length. Their secondary structure includes four short double-helical elements and three loops (D, anti-codon, and T loops). The record is from Rfam by way of RNAcentral. Lineage: Eukaryota; Fungi; Ascomycota; Eurotiomycetes; Eurotiales; Aspergillaceae.
GGCACUUUGGCGGAGUGGUUAACGCGAUGCCCUGCUAUAUCCUAAUAGGCUUAGCUUAGGCAUUCCCUUCGGGGGCGUGAGUUCGAAUCUCACAGGUGUCG